This 494-nucleotide ribosomal RNA is filed under the name uncultured bacterium. RNAcentral describes it as "bacterial SSU rRNA". It matches the Rfam family "Bacterial small subunit ribosomal RNA", at positions 903 to 1397 of the family's 1533-position model. The record is from RNAcentral.
AAAGGAAUAGACGGGGGCCCGCACAAGCAGUGGAUCAUGUGGUUUAAUUCGACGAUACCCGAAAAACCUUACCAGAACUUGACAUCUGGGGAAUCCUGUAGAAGUACGGGAGUGCCCGCAAGGGAACCCCAAGACAGGUGGUGCAUGGUUGUCGUCAGCUCGUGUCGUGAGAUGUUAGGUUAAGUCCUGCAACGAGCGCAACCCUCGUGUUGUGUUGCUACAUUUAGUUGAGCACUCUCAACAGACUGCCCGUGGUAAACGGGAGGAAGGUGGGGAUGACGUCAAAUCAUCAUGCCCUUUAUGUUCUGGGCUACACACAUGAUACAAUGGCAAGUACAAAGGGAAGCCAAACCGCAAGGCGGAGCAAAUCUCAAAAAACUUGCCCCAGUUCAGAUUGCAGGCUGCAACUCGCCUGCAUGAAGAUGGAAUUGCUAGUAAACGCAGAUCAGCAUGCUGCGUUGAAUACGUUCCCGGGCCUUGUACACACCGCCCGU